CUCCUCAGGCCCCACAACAAAAUCUGUGGUGGGUGCAAUGCAAUAGUAGCUCAUGCACCCCAGAGUCAGGCCCAGCUGAACCACUGAGAGGCCAACCAAGUGAAGGGUUUGUGGCGCUUUCAGCCGGGGGACAUCUCCUGCCUCUCACACACCUGUAGUUGCUGCCAAGUACCCCUGCCCAGCCCACAGUGGGGGGGGGGGAUAGUUUGGGUGGAUCGUGUGGCUAGGGGAUUUUGCCCAUUUUGGAAGGGUGUUGUCUCAUUUGUAGUGUGUGUGACUGCACACACAUUUUAAGUGUCUUUCUCUACCUCCCUAAAUCAUGGGAAUUCAUUCUUUGUGUUUUGAAUGUAAAUAUGUGUUGUAUGUGUAGUCUUUUGUGGGAGGGAGUGUUCUGAGCACCACCAGUGAAAUGUGUAUCUUAUGCUGCCCGCAACAGUUUCUGUCAUUCCUAAAUAUAUGCCUCCAGUCCCAAAACUCUCUGCACCCCCAUGAAUCGGGGUGCUGAAUGCUGCAGUCACAGCCAACCUGUUUCUCUCCAUGAUUCCUUCUGGGCUCUGGAUUCUGCUGUGACCCGGGGGGGGGGGGGUUCACAACAUAACAUUACAAUAUAAAAACUACAGAACACAUAGUAGAGAUAACAACCACAGCAAACCAGCAAACCCCUCUCCCACAACACAUUUAAAAGGGCAUCAGAUGUCAAUCAGCCAAAGAAUGUUUUUUGCCUGGUGCCUAAAGGUGUAUAAUGAAAGCGCCAAGCUAACCUCCCUGGGGAGAGCAUCCGACAAACAGGGAGCCACUGCAGAGAAGGCCUGUUCUUGUGUUGUCACCCUCCAGAGCUCUCGUGGAGGAGGCACACGGAGAAGGGCCUCAGAGGAUGAUCUCUGGGUCCAGGUAGGUUCAUAUGGAGAGAGGCGGUCCUUGAGGCAUUGUGGUCCUGAGCCAUUUAAAGUAGCGGUCCUGAGCAGCUCAGCUGCUUCAGUUGCCAUUUGUGGCUGGGAUCUCUCCUGGCUGCACCUAUAUUCCCUUUCCUCUAAGGAGCUCAAGGUGACCUAUAUGGUUCCCCUCCUCCCACUUGAUCCUCACAACAAGAACAUCCUUGUGAGGUAUGUUAGGCUAAGGCACAGUGUCUGGCCCUAGUCCUCUUCUCCCAAGCCCUAGUGGAACACGUUAACCACUGCACAAAACAAAGUUUGGAUUAAUACACUUUUUUAGACCUCAAAUUUUCUACAAAGCCCAGAACAGCAGCACCAUCAUGUAUGAAACUGCCUUACACUAAGUCAGGCCAUCAAGCCUAACGUUGUCUUUACUGAAUGGCAGCAGCCACCCAGGAUUUCAGACUAGGCUCUCUCCCAGAUGCUAGGGACUGAACCUGGGACCUUCCGCAUGCAAAAGUAGGUACUGAGCUUUGACCCUUCCACACAGGGCAAAAUGGCUACUUUGGCACUACCUUCCCAACUACCCAAGAAACGUGGCUUUGGUGUACCAGGCAGAUGUACCAUUCACCAUGUGACAUGUCUCCGCCUUCCUCUACCACCCAGCAUGCUUCCUAGCCAACUCAAGGGCAGGUGGUCCAGCGUGUGAAGGAAAGAGAAGAAUCCCUUUCCCAUCUCGCCCUCCCUCCAAGGUCCUACUCUAACUCCAUUGUGGCUGGUAGGGCAGAAGGCAGGGAGCCCGACAGUAGAUGGCGCCACAACAGAUAACUGGAACCAGAGCCAGGAACAGACAGAACCAACCGAGUCCGGUUUUGUUCUUGCCUUCCUCCCUUGCUGAGUUCUGCAAGGGCAACACGGAGACUAAGGAGGAGGUGGGAGCUGAUAGCGAGGACCAUCACCUGGGCUGUUUGUAAGAAAGGAGGCAGGAAACUGGGUGGAGGCAGACAGGUUGGUUGGGCAGUGCCCCCCUUGCCCAUAUGGACCACCCUCCACUGGCUGUUUGGACUGACCCAGGUGCACUGCUUUUCUAAUGCUCUUGUCACCAAAGUUUUGGCAAAACACUCUCUCACACACAACCCAUGCCAAAUUUGGAGCCGCAUCUGUAAUCCCUCACAAACAUAUUUUCCUCCAGUGCUGCACCUGCCACAAUGAUUUCAGGAUGUUGUGGGGAUGAGCUUUCCUGCUAAUUAUAAUUACAUCAAAAUCAUAGUGAUUUAUUCUUGCCAAAGCUCGAGAGAGAUUUCUGGAGAUCGCCUAGACAUUGGAAUAAAGGCCAGCCUGAG
Podarcis raffonei (Aeolian wall lizard) is the source of this 2215-nucleotide long non-coding RNA. RefSeq lists it as uncharacterized. The record is from RefSeq and is a predicted model, not a curated record. The transcript has 2 exons. Lineage: Eukaryota; Metazoa; Chordata; Lepidosauria; Squamata; Lacertidae.